This 100-nucleotide ribosomal RNA is filed under the name Propithecus coquereli (Coquerel's sifaka). The record is from RNAcentral. Lineage: Eukaryota; Metazoa; Chordata; Mammalia; Primates; Indriidae.
AAUUUCUCUCUUUAGAACUGUCAAUAGGAAGCUAAGCAGGGUCGGGCCUGGUUAGGAUCUUGGAUGGGAGACCACCUGGGCCCUACCAGGUAAAAAAUUU